AGGGAUAUAGCCAAGCGGUAAGGCAGCGGGUUUUGAUCCCGUAAUUCAGAGGUUCAAAUCCUCUUAUCCCUGCCA
Molecule: transfer RNA, 75 nt
Filed under: Colwellia sp.
Lineage: Bacteria; Pseudomonadati; Pseudomonadota; Gammaproteobacteria; Alteromonadales; Colwelliaceae
Description: tRNA-Gln
Rfam family: tRNA
About the family: Transfer RNA (tRNA) molecules are approximately 80 nucleotides in length. Their secondary structure includes four short double-helical elements and three loops (D, anti-codon, and T loops).
Source: RNAcentral